CUAGGGGCAGCGCCCACCCCCCAGCUGUUUUUACGGAUGUUGGGCGAGUUGCUCCCGCAGCUGGAGGAGGUGCUGACCCGAGGGCACCCUGGGGUGCUGGUGCAGCUGGCAGCUGGGUGUGCCCGGCACCAGGGGGGGCACAAGGAGCUACGGAGAGCCCUGUACCAGGCCCUCCACUGUGAUCGCCCGAAGG
Leucoraja erinaceus (little skate) is the source of this 193-nucleotide long non-coding RNA. RefSeq lists it as uncharacterized. The transcript has 3 exons. The record is from RefSeq and is a predicted model, not a curated record. Lineage: Eukaryota; Metazoa; Chordata; Chondrichthyes; Rajiformes; Rajidae.